RNAcentral lists this long non-coding RNA (1179 nucleotides) under Ananas comosus (pineapple). RNAcentral's name for it is "long non-coding RNA (ACOM_LNC029918)". Lineage: Eukaryota; Viridiplantae; Streptophyta; Magnoliopsida; Poales; Bromeliaceae. The record is from RNAcentral.
CACACCGCUUCACCCUCCUCUGCCGCCUCUCCCUCAUCCACCCCUCCGUCCGUGCCCACACCCGCGCCCUCGCCCUCCAUCGCAUCGCCCUUGUACACCCCUUUGUCCAUGCCCUUCCUGAUCUCCUCCCCACCGUCGCCAAAUGGAGGGGUGGUGAAGGUGCAGGAGGAGCAGGGGAAGUAGGUGGAGCAAGCGGAGUCAAAACUGGAGUCGAAGAAGGCGCGGGGAACAAAGAGGAGGGACUGCGGAUGGAGGAGAGUUAGGGAGGAGACAAAUAAGGAGAGAACAAUUUGGUCAUUUUGUCGUUACAGUUAAUACUAUGACCCUUUUGUGAGCAUUUUUUUAUUUUUUAAGUAGGCAAAAUGUAGGUUCAAAAAUAAAAGUGAAAAAUCAAAUAUUAACAUAAAGUUUUCUAUAAUUUAGCCUAGAAUAAAAUGCUCCAAAUCCGUCCGGACCUGCCUCCAGAUUCAUUCCAUUUGCAUUCAUAGUAUAAACUAUUUACCAGGCAAAGGGUUUGGUGGUUGGUACCCGAGGUCCCAGAUUAGUAUAAAGUAUUUAAUAUGCUUGAAUAAUAAUGCAUGUUAUACCCAAUUUCAAAGCAAAUGAAUAUACGACUUGUGCUAACACUACAACAAAAAUGGUCUAUAGCGACACUUUUAAAUAUCGGUACAGGUCAAAAAAAGUGCUGCUGGCUAAAUUACCUACACUUUUAAAAAGUGUUGCUAUAUAUAGGGUCGCUAGGUAUAUAGUGACAAUUAAAGAGUGUCGGUAUAAGCCAAAAAGAGUGCUGCUAAUUUACUAACACUUAUUUAAGUAUUUAGCAACCGUCAGAACUCUAUCUUGUUGGCUGCGGUGGCGGAGGAUGAGGAGAGGGAGGGCUUUUCGUCUAGGAUUUCAGUGGAUUGAGUAGGAGGAGAAGUGGAGAUGGUAAUCGAUUUUUCUUUUUUCUUUUUUUUUUUCUUUUCUGUUUGUAAUCGGGUCGAAUGGGCUGGGUGGGGUGGGUUGAGUAGAAUAACUUUUUAUUUUUUGUUGGAUUGGGCUUUUUAUUUAGGCAUUAGUAGAUUUUUUUUUUAGUUUUGGCAUAAAUGGAACACUUACGCAAAAGUGUCCCAAACAUGUGUCGCUAUAAUCUAAUUCUGUUGAGUGUAAAAUAUUAUUUGAUUUAAAAUGUUCUCUCAA